Molecule: ribosomal RNA, 328 nt
Filed under: uncultured eukaryote
Lineage: Eukaryota
Description: partial 18S ribosomal RNA
Rfam family: Eukaryotic small subunit ribosomal RNA
Source: RNAcentral
CCCUUAGAUGUCCUGGGCCGCACGCGCGUUACGCUGAUGCAUUCAACGAGCUUAUAACCUUGGCCGAGAGGCCUGGGCAAUCUUGUUAACGUGCAUCGUGAUAGGGAUAGAUUAUUGAAAUUAUUAAUCUUGAACGAGGAAUUCCUAGUAAACGCAGAUCAUCAAUCUGCAUUGAUUACGUCCCUGCCCUUUGUACACACCGCCCGUCGCUCCUACCGAUUGGGUGUGCUGGUGAAAUGUUCGGAUCGGCCGUUUGUCGCGGUUUCCGCGUCAUGUGGCUGAGAAGUUCAUUAAACCCUCCCACCUAGAGGAAGGAGAAGUCGUAACA